AUUGAACGCUGGCGGCAGGCUUAACACAUGCAAGUCGAGCGGGGUGAUGGUGCUUGCACUAUCACUUAGCGGCGGACGGGUGAGUAAUGCUUAGGAAUCUGCCUAUUAGUGGGGGACAACAUCUCGAAAGGGAUGCUAAUACCGCAUACGUCCUACGGGAGAAAGCAGGGGAUCACUUGUGACCUUGCGCUAAUAGAUGAGCCUAAGUCGGAUUAGCUAGUUGGGGGGGGAAAGGCCUACCAAGGCGACGAUCGUGAGCGGGGCUGAGAGGAUGAUCCGCCACACUGGGACUGGAACACGGACCAGACUCCUACGGGAGGCAGCAGUGGGGAAUAUUGGACAAUGGGGGGAACCCUGAUCCAGCCAUGCCGCGUGUGUGAAGAAGGCCUUAUGGUUGUAAAGCACUUUAAGCGAGGAGGAGGCUCUUUUGGUUAAUACCCAAGAUGAGUGGACGUUACUCGCAGAAUAAGCACCGGCUAACUCUGUGCCAGCCGCCGCCGUAA
This 503-nucleotide ribosomal RNA is filed under the name uncultured bacterium. RNAcentral describes it as "partial 16S ribosomal RNA". It matches the Rfam family "Bacterial small subunit ribosomal RNA", at positions 30 to 523 of the family's 1533-position model. The record is from RNAcentral.